UAACACAAACCGGUAUUUGAAAGAAUGGAUGACCAUUUUAUGGAGUCUGUAAAAAAAUACCUAUUUCCUUUAAUCUUUGUAUGUCAAAGGUUUUAGCAGUUAAAAUAAAACGCGAUCUAAAUAAAACGUGCGCAUUAGCAUUUAUUUUUGCAGAUAACGCUAAGAUCGCUAGAGGGCGUGACGAUACAACGAGAUCGUUAUCCUAUAAUGACAGGCCUACCUGGCUUUUAACAAGACUUUUAAAGAGUGUAUUCUUUGUUCAUCAGAUACAUACCUGGAAAUGUAAUUAUAAUUAUCUACUAACACAAACAAACGAGACAGCAAAUGAUAAGUGAGCCAACAGCAUUUUCGACACGGUGUCCCCUGCGGGUGUAAGGACUCAUCUGAUGAAGUACAACCUUUCUUUGGAUGUCUUCCGAUAAAGGGUCCUGGAAGCUGUUGGAGAGCUCUGGCCCUUCAGUGAGGAGCCGCUCCAUUAGUUUCGGAUGCAGGCGAGUGGAGCAUCAUCUGCCUGGCAUACUGUUUGUCUGUCUGUCAGUCAGCCUGCCAGGCAGCCAUUGUGAUUGUUUGCCUGUCCGUCUGUUUGCCCGCCCCUGUCAAUGCCUUUCAGAGAUUCCGGUCUGUGUAAAGUAGAUUUUUCUUCCAGUCCAUAACUUUUCUUAUCUCAUUAUCUCUCUUUGUGUAUCUCUCUCUGUAUCUCUCUCCCCCUCUCUUUAUCGCUCUCUCACUCUCUCUACUUCUAUCUAUCUAUCUAUCUAUCUAUCUAUCUAUCUAUCUAUCUAUCUAUCUAUCUAUCUAUCUAUCUAUCUAUCUAUCUAUCUCUCUCUCUCUCUCUCUCUCUCUCUCUCUCUCUCUCUCUCUCUCUCUCUCUCUCUCUCUCUCUCUCUCUCUCUCUCUCUCUCUCUCUCUCUCUCUCUCCAUCUCUACCUUCUCUCUCCCAUUCUGUCUCCUACCCCUGAUGCUCAUGAAUAAAUCAUUGCACCAUCUUGAUGGAAAAUAAGUUGCUGGAAGAAAAAAAAAAGACUACAUGUUUUAUACUUAGCUAAUUAGAUAGAUUCAUAUUCAUAAUGAGCACUCCUGAAAUGCAGGUGACAGAAGGAGCUGAAGAAUAAUCAAGCUGUGUGUGUGUGUGUGUGUCUGUGUGCGUGUGUCUGUGUGUGUGUGUGUGUGUCUGUGUGUGUGUGUGCGCGCAUGUGGUCACUAGUGUGUACAGCUGAGGUAUAUGUUUACAUUUCUUCAUGGCGUCCUGGUCACCCAAGGCACUUCAAUGUAAUGGAAUUAUGGGUAUAGAAAUGUGACAGAAUCAACCAUUUCCAUUGUUCUAUUGUAAUGGGCAAAGAGAGAACAACAGCAUUCCUUAGCCAUAUGUUUAAUCAUCUCCAUAACCUUUCUUUGUGUGUGCCAGUACAUUGAAGAGCCCAAACACACAAACGUGUGUGUUGUGUGUGUAUGUGGGUGUGAGUGCCGUGAAUUUCCCUGAAUUAUAAGAAUACUAAAAUAAAAAAUAUUUGUGAGCUAGAGGUUAGGGAGUCCAUUCUAGCAGGCUUCACCCACGCUACUGUUUCUCUCUCUCUCUCUCUCUCUCUCUCUCUCUCUCUCUCUCUCUCCCUCUCUCCAUCUCCAUCGAGCCUCCAGCCAUCGCUCUCUCUCUUUGACACCACUCUCCCACCCCUCUGUCAAUGUCUCUUUAUACCUAUCUCUAUUUUACUUCUCUGUAUUCUUUCUCACUCCUCUCUCUCUUUCUCUCUCUCU
This is a long non-coding RNA of Gadus macrocephalus (Pacific cod), 1752 nucleotides long. RefSeq lists it as uncharacterized. NCBI's taxonomy places the organism in Eukaryota, Metazoa, Chordata, Actinopteri, Gadiformes, Gadidae. The transcript is spliced from 3 exons. The record is from RefSeq and is a predicted model, not a curated record.